This 433-nucleotide long non-coding RNA is filed under the name Homo sapiens (human). RNAcentral's name for it is "HSALNT0239700". Lineage: Eukaryota; Metazoa; Chordata; Mammalia; Primates; Hominidae. The record is from RNAcentral.
CUAUCUCAUAACCUGGUCAGGAGGCUCCCUGUGUCCUACAAUUCUGGAUUCUUCAAAUGAAUGAGUGAAAAGAUGAAGAAGAUGGUUGACUAGAGUAAUGUAUUCCGUGGUCAGAACGUCUUCUGCUCCCUGCUGCUGCCAUCUCUGUCUUGGUCUCCCUCCUCUCCACCCCAUGAGCAUGAAGACAAAAUACCCAUAGAUGAGAUGAAAAGGAUAGAGGUAAAAAAGGACAGAGCAGAAGAAGGGGACCAAGUCCCCCCACCGUCUCAGCUUCCCUAAUUGAAUGACUCUCCUACCUGACUCUCCUGUCGGCUCCCAUGUUCCUUCAUUCUCCCUGAUGGCCCUGAAAUCAUCUCCCCCAUCUCAUCAAAUCUCUCCCCCUUCCUCCUGCUUGUUCUCUAAGCCGCAGAUUACUUUUUCAUAAAAUUCAAUU